GACCUUAUGGCGGAGUACUUGCGGACGGGGGUUCAAUUCCCCCCGCCUCCACCA
Molecule: transfer-messenger RNA, 54 nt
Filed under: Gammaproteobacteria bacterium
Lineage: Bacteria; Pseudomonadati; Pseudomonadota; Gammaproteobacteria
Also listed under: 1 other name
Description: partial transfer-messenger RNA
Rfam family: transfer-messenger RNA
About the family: Bacterial tmRNA, also known as 10Sa RNA or SsrA, is named for its dual tRNA and mRNA-like properties. Its role is to liberate the mRNA from a stalled ribosome.
Source: RNAcentral